UACAGAGGAGCCAAGCGUUGUCCGGAAUUAUUGGGCGUAAAGAGCUCGUAGGCGGUUUGUCGCGUCUGCUGUGAAAACCCGAGGCUCAACCUCGGGCCUGCAGUGGGUACGGGCAGACUAGAGUGCGGUAGGGGAGAUUGGAAUUCCUGGUGUAGCGGUGGAAUGCGCAGAUAUCAGGAGGAACACCGGUGGUGUAGACGGCUCUCUGGACCGUAACUGACGCUGAGGCACGAAAGCGUGGGUAGCAAACAGG
Molecule: ribosomal RNA, 253 nt
Filed under: uncultured bacterium
Lineage: Bacteria
Description: partial 16S ribosomal RNA
Rfam family: Bacterial small subunit ribosomal RNA
Source: RNAcentral